UCCUGUGUAGCUUAGUUGGUAAAGUGUCUGCCUGCAAUGCAGGAGACCUGGGUUCAAUUUCUGGGUCGGGAA
RNAcentral lists this transfer RNA (72 nucleotides) under Bos taurus (domestic cattle). It matches the Rfam family "tRNA". From Rfam's summary of the family: Transfer RNA (tRNA) molecules are approximately 80 nucleotides in length. Their secondary structure includes four short double-helical elements and three loops (D, anti-codon, and T loops). Lineage: Eukaryota; Metazoa; Chordata; Mammalia; Artiodactyla; Bovidae. The record is from Rfam by way of RNAcentral. RNAcentral also lists the same sequence under 2 other names.